This 52-nucleotide transfer RNA is filed under the name Flustrellidra hispida. RNAcentral describes it as "tRNA-Val". Lineage: Eukaryota; Metazoa; Bryozoa; Gymnolaemata; Ctenostomatida; Flustrellidridae. The record is from RNAcentral.
AUGUAUUGCCAUGGAAAGAACCUUACAAGUUCUGUAAUAUGUGGUAUAUAUA